CCCUUCCCUUGGGUGGGAGUUUUGGUCGUUAAAACAAAUGAGCGGCCAGGAACGCAGGGAACUGAAAUCUAAAUACAAGCAGGCGGAGCAACAGCUAAGACCGGUGAACGGCUGUCAGACGCGGGCGCCGCUGGAGGAGAAACGCUAGGAGAGGUUGAGAGGAAGAGCCGGCAGAAAGGGCACCCGGCAGGUUUAGAGAUGAUAGGCAAGGAGCUGAGCGCUGGGUGGUUUCUGAAUCCGGCUUUUGUUCUUCUGUGCUUGCCUAGCCAGGGUUAACUUUGUGUGUCAGAAAAUCUCCGUGCUUGGUCUGUUCAAAAUGCGGAGAUCAGUUUAGGGAUCUUCACGUUUUCAAAAUAACCGCUCUCCUCUUGUCCAGAUGUGGGCUUCUGCGUCAACCAGCUGGAUUCUCAGCCUUCAUAGUUCUCAUUUUCAAAUCAUUCACCGCAGCCCCGGGGGCUAGGAGCUUACAUGUUUAAUAAAAACGGAGAUUGUCGCAUUGUUCCCCAAUUUAAGGAACUGAGGCUGUAAGAAAAGCAUAAAAUAUGGUGCGAUUUGCCAUAGAAUCACAAGAUUUGGAAACCCUGAAGGGUUAGCUAGAGAGCUCAGUGAAGAAAAAGAGCAUAGGAAGGGAUUGUAGGAAUGCAGGGCUGGAAGAGACGUUGAGACAUCGUGCAGUCUGUUCUGCUGCCCCGAGCCAGGAUCAGGGAUAUCCAGAGCAUCCCUGACAGAUACUUGUCUAACCUCCAAGACGAGAUGCACAGGAAUGCGCAAGAAGAAUCAGGAGGCUCCACAGAGAUCUAGUGAAUCACAGAGGAGGGAAUGCCUGAAUUGCUGUCCCCUUAUGCAGUGUUAGUGCUGCCUUCAACCCCAGUUCUGCACUUGGGAUCAGGGUCUUCCUUUCUUUCUACAGCAGCUCUGCCCAGCUGCAAAAUGAACUUGGGGGUCUUGCGAUGUUAUCUGUAGAUGUGACAUCACAGCCUUUUCCAUGGCAACGCAUCGCAGUUCCUGAGAGGGAGCUGAUGAGCUGAGCGCAAGGAGAUUUUUCAAUGGGAA
RNAcentral lists this long non-coding RNA (1053 nucleotides) under Crocodylus porosus (Australian saltwater crocodile). Its description in RNAcentral is "lncRNA (ENSCPRG00005018529.1)". The record is from RNAcentral. Lineage: Eukaryota; Metazoa; Chordata; Crocodylia; Crocodylidae.